This is a long non-coding RNA of Capsicum annuum, 442 nucleotides long. RefSeq lists it as uncharacterized. Lineage: Eukaryota; Viridiplantae; Streptophyta; Magnoliopsida; Solanales; Solanaceae. The record is from RefSeq and is a predicted model, not a curated record. The transcript is spliced from 2 exons.
UUCAUUCUUCCUCUCAAAAUCCACCAAGAACACUCCUUAGGGUUUCAAACAAGAAUUCUAAAUAACUCAAGAUUCAACCGUCGGUUUUAGAAAUUGAUUGAAGAUUUAGAAUCCCCAAACUGAGGGCUUCAAGAAUCAUCCAUGAAAUUUCUAAUUUGAGGGUUUGAGGCUCAGUUUAGAGGUCCUGCUAAGCCGUAGAGUAUUCAGACAGAAGUGAAGUGUGCAGUUGGUGAGUCUUCUUUAUUCCGGAAGGCCUAUUUCUUUCAUACUUUUGAUAUUUAUUUUGGUUUAGGUCCACUGGGGACCUUGUCCCAGUUUUAGACAAUUUUGUUUACUUCGUAUGUGUUGGAGAUUUCGCAGACAGAAACAGAUGUUUAGAUGCUGAUGGGUCUUCUUUCGUAUUGAUAUACUUAAUUCAGGGCAUGACCAUGAUUCCGUAUUA